Molecule: ribosomal RNA, 460 nt
Filed under: uncultured bacterium
Lineage: Bacteria
Description: partial 16S ribosomal RNA
Rfam family: Bacterial small subunit ribosomal RNA
Source: RNAcentral
CCUACGGGCGGCAGCAGUGAGGAAUAUUGGUCAAUGGACGAGAGUCUGAACCAGCCAAGUAGCGUGAAGGAUGACUGCCCUAUGGUUUGUAAACUUCUUUUAUAAAGGGAUAAAACGAGGUACGUGUGCCUUUUUGCAUGUACUUUAUGAAUAAGGAUCGGAUAACUCCGUGCCAGCAGCCGGGGUAAGACGGAGGGUCCGAGCGUUAACCGGAUUUAUUGGGUUUAAAGGGAGCGUAGUCGGGUUGUUAAGUCAGUUGUGAAAGUUUGCGGCUCAACCGUAGAAUUGCAAUUGAUACUGGCAGGCUUGAGUACAGUUGAGGUAGGCGGAAUUCGUGGUGUAGCGGUGAAAUGCGUAGAUAUGACGAAGAACCCCGAUUGCGAAGGCAGUUUACUAAACUGUGACUGACAUUGAUGCUCGAAAGUGUGGGUAGCAAACAGGAUUAGAUACCCCAGUAGUC